GCUGCAUGGUUGUCGUCAGCUCGUGCCGUGAGGUGUCAGGUUAAGUCCUAUAACGAGCGCAACCCCUGUGGUUAGUUACCAGCAUGUAAUGAUGGGGACUCUAGCCAGACUGCCGGUGCAAACCGUGAGGAAGGUGGGGAUGACGUCAAAUCAUCACGGCCCUUACGCCUUGGGCUACACACGUGCUACAAUGGUAUAUACAAUGAGCAGCCAUCUGGCGACAGAGCGCUAAUCUAUAAAGUAUAUCACAGUUCGAAUCGGAGUCUGCAACUCGACUCUGUGAAGCUGGAAUCGCUAGUAAUCGCACAUCAGCCAUGGUGCGGUGAAUACGUUCCCGGGCCUUGCACACACCGCCCGU
Molecule: ribosomal RNA, 358 nt
Filed under: uncultured bacterium
Lineage: Bacteria
Description: bacterial SSU rRNA
Rfam family: Bacterial small subunit ribosomal RNA
Source: RNAcentral